GACGAACGCUGGCGGCGUGCUUAACACAUGCAAGUCGAACGGAAAGGCCCUGCUUUUGUGGGGUGCUCGAGUGGCGAACGGGUGAGUAACACGUGAGUAACCUGCCCUUGACUUUGGGAUAACUUCAGGAAACUGGGGCUAAUACCGGAUAGGAGCUCCUGCUGCAUGGUGGGGGUUGGAAAGUUUCGGCGGUUGGGGAUGGACUCGCGGCUUAUCAGCUUGUUGGUGGGGUAGUGGCUUACCAAGGCUUUGACGGGUAGCCGGCCUGAGAGGGUGACCGGCCACAUUGGGACUGGGGUACGGCCCAGACGCCUACGGGAGGCAGGAGUGGGGAAUAUUGCACAAUGGGCGGAAGCCUGAUGCAGCAACGCCGCGUGCGGGAUGACGGCCGUCGGGUUGUAAACCGCUUUCGCCUGUGACGAAGCGUGAGUGACGGUAAUGGGGAAAGAAGCACCGGCUAACUACGU
This 467-nucleotide ribosomal RNA is filed under the name uncultured bacterium. RNAcentral describes it as "partial 16S ribosomal RNA". It matches the Rfam family "Bacterial small subunit ribosomal RNA", at positions 28 to 506 of the family's 1533-position model. The record is from RNAcentral.